This 497-nucleotide ribosomal RNA is filed under the name uncultured bacterium. RNAcentral's name for it is "partial 16S ribosomal RNA". It matches the Rfam family "Bacterial small subunit ribosomal RNA", at positions 28 to 507 of the family's 1533-position model. The record is from RNAcentral.
GAUGAACGCUGGCGGCGUGCCUAAUACAUGCCAGUCGAGCGAACGGACGAGAAGCUUGCUUCUCUGAUGUUAGCGGCGGACGGGUGAGUAACACGUGGAUAACCUACCUAUAAGACUGGGAUAACUACGGGAAACCGGAGCUAAUACCGGAUAAUAUUUUGAACCGCAUGGUUCAAAAGUGAAAGACGGUCUUGCUGUCACUUAUAGAUGGAUCCGCGCUGCAUUAGCUAGUUGGUAAGGUAACGGCUUACCAAGGCAACGAUGCAUAGCCGACCUGAGAGGGUGAUCGGCCACACUGGAACUGAGACACGGUCCAGACUCCUACGGGAGGCAGCAGUAGGGAAUCUUCCGCAAUGGGCGAAAGCCUGACGGAGCAACGCCGCGUGAGUGAUGAAGGUCUUCGGAUCGUAAAACUCUGUUAUUAGGGAAGAACAUAUGUGUAAGUAACUGUGCACAUCUUGACGGUACCUAAUCAGAAGGCCACGGCUAACUACGUG